Molecule: ribosomal RNA, 103 nt
Filed under: uncultured bacterium
Lineage: Bacteria
Description: partial 16S ribosomal RNA
Rfam family: Bacterial small subunit ribosomal RNA
Source: RNAcentral
CUUGUACACACCGCCCGUCACACCAUGGGAGUGGGUUUCACCAGAAGUAGGUAGCUUAACCUUCGGGAGGGCGCUUACCACGGUGAGAUUCAUGACUGGGGUG